GCUUACGGCCAUACCACCCUGAGCACGCCCGAUCUCGUCUGAUCUCGGAAGCUAAGCAGGGUCGGGCCUGGUUAGUACUAAGCAGGGUCGGGCCUGGAUGGGAGACCGCCUGGGAAUACCAGGUGCUGUAAGCU
RNAcentral lists this ribosomal RNA (134 nucleotides) under Betta splendens (Siamese fighting fish). The record is from RNAcentral. Lineage: Eukaryota; Metazoa; Chordata; Actinopteri; Anabantiformes; Osphronemidae.